GACGAACGCUGGCGGCGUGCUUAACACAUGCGAGUCGAACGGAAAGGCCCUGCUUUUGUGGGGUGCUCGAGUGGCGAACGGGUGAGUAACACGUGAGUAACCUGCCCUUGACUUUGGGAUAACUUCAGGAAACUGGGGCUAAUACCGGAUAGGAGCUCCUGCUGCAUGGUGGGGGUUGGAAAGUUUCGGCGGUUGGGGAUGGACUCGCGGCUUAUCAGCUUGUUGGUGGGGUAGUGGCUUACCAAGGCUUUGACGGGUAGCCGGCCUGAGAGGGUGACCGGCCACAUUGGGACUGAGAUACGGCCCAGACUCCUACGGGAGGCAGCAGUGGGGAAUAUUGCACGAUGGGCGGAAGCCUGAUGCAGCAACGCCGCGUGCGGGAUGACGGCCUUCGGGUUGUAAACCGCUUUCGCCUGUGACGAAGCGUGAGUGACGGUAAUGGGUAAAGAAGCACCGGCUAACUACGUG
RNAcentral lists this ribosomal RNA (468 nucleotides) under uncultured bacterium. RNAcentral's name for it is "partial 16S ribosomal RNA". It matches the Rfam family "Bacterial small subunit ribosomal RNA", at positions 28 to 507 of the family's 1533-position model. The record is from RNAcentral.